UACGUAGGGGGCAAGCGUUGUCCGGAAUCAUUGGGCGUAAAGCGCGUGUAGGCGGCCAGGUAAGUCCGUUCUGAAAGCCCGGGGCUCAACCCCGGGAGGCGGAUGGAUACUGCUUGGCUCGAGUCCGGAAGAGGCGAGUGGAAUUCCCGGUGUAGCGGUGAAAUGCGCAGAUAUCGGGAGGAACACCAAUGGCGAAGGCAGCUCGCUGGGACGUUACUGACGCUGAGACGCGAAAGCGUGGGGAGCAAACAGG
This 253-nucleotide ribosomal RNA is filed under the name uncultured bacterium. RNAcentral describes it as "partial 16S ribosomal RNA". It matches the Rfam family "Bacterial small subunit ribosomal RNA", at positions 524 to 776 of the family's 1533-position model. The record is from RNAcentral.